ACACUGAGGAGGGGCAGGAUCCACUGGCAGCCAGCCAGGGCAGGCAGGAGGAAGGCCUGGAGUCCAGUCUUCCCGGUCCCAGUGCCCAGCACGAGCAUCCCCCCUCCCCGCUCGGCUCCUGGCACUGGAGUCCCGGGUUCAAGUCCCAUUCACCAUCUGACGCCCUCUGAGGGCCUCACUUUCCCCAACUGAGAGCCAGGGCAGAGACAGGAUGGGGUCUGAGCUUGGGAUUCCCACUCCUUUAAGCCUUUCUUGGCCAGGAUGCAGCCCCGCGCAGCUUCAGAGCUCCUGUUACUGGACAGGGACUUCAACCAGGCUGACUGGCACGAGUCCUCACAAGAAAGGCAGAGAGAUGUGCCCAACACGAGGCUGGCAGUGUUGAGCUGCGGUGACUCAGUUGAUGGACAAGUGGAUGAGGUCAGCCAAGGGACCUUGGGGCUCUGCUGAAGGCUGUGACUGUGCAGUGGGGCCUGUGAAUCCUGUGUCCUUGUCCGGGGUCGCCUUUACCUCCAGAGUCCAUCAACCUCCCUGCUGCCGUGCCUGUGUGCUUGGGUCUCUCUCACACGGGUCUGCUCCUAUGUGUCCUGGAGAUAUCUGGUGGUCACCCCUGCCACCCCAGACUCAGGGGUGUGAGCCCACAGCCUCUCUGCCUGCAGGUCGGUCUGUGGAGCCCUGACCCUGAAACGCAAAG
Molecule: long non-coding RNA, 691 nt
Organism: Suricata suricatta (meerkat)
Lineage: Eukaryota; Metazoa; Chordata; Mammalia; Carnivora; Herpestidae
Exons: 3
Source: RefSeq, a predicted model, not a curated record